RNAcentral lists this transfer RNA (101 nucleotides) under Puccinia triticina. RNAcentral describes it as "tRNA-Lys". It matches the Rfam family "tRNA". Rfam says of the family: Transfer RNA (tRNA) molecules are approximately 80 nucleotides in length. Their secondary structure includes four short double-helical elements and three loops (D, anti-codon, and T loops). Lineage: Eukaryota; Fungi; Basidiomycota; Pucciniomycetes; Pucciniales; Pucciniaceae. The record is from RNAcentral. RNAcentral also lists the same sequence under 1 other name.
GCCCGGCUAGCUCAGUUGGUAGAGCAUUCGACUCUUAGUCAAGCGUUAACAGAAAUCCAUCUGUAAUCGAAUUGUCGUGGGUUCGAGCCCCACGUUGGGCG